RNAcentral lists this ribosomal RNA (259 nucleotides) under uncultured prokaryote. RNAcentral describes it as "partial 16S ribosomal RNA". It matches the Rfam family "Bacterial small subunit ribosomal RNA", at positions 524 to 782 of the family's 1533-position model. The record is from RNAcentral.
UACGUAGGGUGCGAGCGUUGUCCGGAAUUAUUGGGCGUAAAGAGCUUGUAGGCGGUUUGUCGCGUCUGCUGUGAAAAUCCGGGGCUCAACCCCGGACUUGCAGUGAGUACGGGCAGACUAGAGUGUGGUAGGGGAGACUGGAAUUCCUGGUGUAGCGGUGAAAUGCGCAGAUAUCAGGAGGAACACCGAUGGCGAAGGCAGGUCUCUGGGCCACUACUGACGCUGAGAAGCGAAAGCAUGGGGAGCGAACAGGAUUAGA